AUUGAACGCUGGCGGCAUGCCUUACACAUGCAAGUCGAACGGCAGCACGGGUGCUUGCACCUGGUGGCGAGUGGCGAACGGGUGAGUAAUACAUCGGAACAUGUCCUGUAGUGGGGGAUAGCCCGGCGAAAGCCGGAUUGAUACCGCAUACGAUCCACGGAUGAAAGCGGGGGACCUUCGGGCCUCGCGCUAUAGGGUUGGCCGAUGGCUGAUUAGCUAGUUGGUGGGGUAAAGGCCUACCAAGGCGACGAUCAGUAGCUGGUCUGAGAGGACGACCAGCCACACUGGGACUGAGACACGGCCCAGACUCCUACGGGAGGCAGCAGUGGGGAAUUUUGGACAAUGGGCGAAAGCCUGAUCCAGCAAUGCCGCGUGUGUGAAGAAGGCCUUCGGGUUGUAAAGCACUUUUGUCCGGAAAGAAAUCCUUGACUCUAAUACAGUCGGGGGAUGACGGUACCGGAAGAAUAAGCACCGGCUAACUACGUG
This 486-nucleotide ribosomal RNA is filed under the name uncultured bacterium. Its description in RNAcentral is "partial 16S ribosomal RNA". It matches the Rfam family "Bacterial small subunit ribosomal RNA", at positions 30 to 507 of the family's 1533-position model. The record is from RNAcentral.